This 349-nucleotide transfer-messenger RNA is filed under the name Bacillota bacterium. It matches the Rfam family "transfer-messenger RNA". From Rfam's summary of the family: Bacterial tmRNA, also known as 10Sa RNA or SsrA, is named for its dual tRNA and mRNA-like properties. Its role is to liberate the mRNA from a stalled ribosome. Lineage: Bacteria; Bacillati; Bacillota. The record is from RNAcentral.
GGGGGUGUACUGGUUUCGACGGGGGUAUAGAACCACGUUAAGCGAGUCGUUGCGUUGAUCAACGUUAAAAGUGACACCUUAAAAAGAAAAGACAAAGAAAACUUUGCAUUAGCUGCCUAAUUUUGCGGCUCGUCCGCCUCAGCUCACCUGCAGGCUGAGAUCCGGGCGUCAUCUAUGCAGGAAAACGUUAUGCCCACUCCUUUAAGCAUGACGGAAUCUAAAGGAUAGCUGAAGAGAAAACCUGCUUCUGGGUGUUUUCCGAUGCGAAACCCUAAAUCAGAAGCUGCACUCGGAGAAAGAUGUGCGGAAGUGCUUUCGGACAGGAGUUCGAUUCUCCUCACCUCCACCA